RNAcentral lists this ribosomal RNA (521 nucleotides) under uncultured bacterium. Its description in RNAcentral is "bacterial SSU rRNA". It matches the Rfam family "Bacterial small subunit ribosomal RNA", at positions 1 to 525 of the family's 1533-position model. The record is from RNAcentral.
UAGAGUUUGAUCCUGGCUCAGAUUGAACGCUGGCGGCAUGCCUUACACAUGCAAGUCGAACGGUAACAGGUCUUCGGACGCUGACGAGUGGCGAACGGGUGAGUAAUACAUCGGAACGUGCCCAGUCGUGGGGGAUAACUACUCGAAAGAGUAGCUAAUACCGCAUACGAUCUGAGGAUGAAAGCGGGGGACCUUCGGGCCUCGCGCGAUUGGAGCGGCCGAUGGCAGAUUAGGUAGUUGGUGGGAUAAAAGCUUACCAAGCCGACGAUCUGUAGCUGGUCUGAGAGGACGACCAGCCACACUGGGACUGAGACACGGCCCAGACUCCUACGGGAGGCAGCAGUGGGGAAUUUUGGACAAUGGGCGAAAGCCUGGUCCAGCAAUGCCGCGUGCAGGAUGAAGGCCUUCGGGUUGUAAACUGCUUUUGUACGGAACGAAAAAGCUCCUUCUAAUACAGGGGGCCCAUGACGGUACCGUAAGAAUAAGCACCGGCUAACUACGUGCCAGCAGCCGCGGUAAUA